Molecule: unclassified non-coding RNA, 363 nt
Filed under: uncultured bacterium
Lineage: Bacteria
Description: contains 16S-23S intergenic spacer region
Source: RNAcentral
UCCCCGUUGCCAGGGCGGUCUGAGUAGAAAAAUUCAACUACUCACAAGGGUUGCGCUCGUUGAUGGACUUAACCAAACAUCUCACGACACGAGCUGACGACGGCCAUGCAACACCUGUCACUGCGCUCAAUAAAGCACUCCUACCUUUCGGUAAGAUUCGCAGGAUGUCAAACCUGGGUAAGGUUCUUCGCUUAUCAUCGAAUUAAACAACACGCUCCACCGCUUGUGCGGGUCCCCGUCAAUUCCUUUAUGUUUUAAGCUUGCGCUCGUACUCCACAGGCGGGAUGCUUAACGCGUUAGCUUCGCCACACACCGGGUCGAUACGGUGUACGGCUAGCAUCCAUCGUUUACGGCGUGGACUAC